GACAGAGGGGGCAAGCGUUGCUCGAAAUUACUGGGCGUAAAGGGCGCGUAGGCGGGAUGGCAAGUCGGUCGUGAAAUCCCUCGGCUCAACCGAGGAACGUCGAUCGAUACUGCUGUUCUUGAGGAUUGCAGAGGAGACUGGAAUUCCCGGUGUAGCGGUGAAAUGUGUAGAGAUCGGGAGGAACACCGGUGGCGAAGGCGGGUCUCUGGGCAAUUCCUGACGCUGAGGCGCGAAAGCGUGGGGAGCAAACGGG
This 253-nucleotide ribosomal RNA is filed under the name uncultured bacterium. RNAcentral's name for it is "partial 16S ribosomal RNA". It matches the Rfam family "Bacterial small subunit ribosomal RNA", at positions 524 to 776 of the family's 1533-position model. The record is from RNAcentral.